RNAcentral lists this transfer RNA (68 nucleotides) under Artibeus glaucus rosenbergii. RNAcentral's name for it is "tRNA-Arg". Lineage: Eukaryota; Metazoa; Chordata; Mammalia; Chiroptera; Phyllostomidae. The record is from RNAcentral.
UGAUAAUUAGUUUAAACAAAAUAAGUGAUUUCGACUCACUAGAUUAUGAUAAAGCUCAUAAUUAUCUU